GUACAUAUAAGUUACUUAGACUAUUACCUUGAAAAGGUAACAGCGGGCUAUAUACCCUAUUACCA
RNAcentral lists this transfer RNA (65 nucleotides) under Asymmetron inferum. RNAcentral describes it as "tRNA-Phe". The record is from RNAcentral. Lineage: Eukaryota; Metazoa; Chordata; Leptocardii; Amphioxiformes; Branchiostomatidae.